Non-coding RNA from Eleginops maclovinus (Patagonian blennie), 1002 nucleotides. The record is from the annotation of a RefSeq genome assembly. Lineage: Eukaryota; Metazoa; Chordata; Actinopteri; Perciformes; Eleginopidae.
CUGUUUGUCUGACAUUAAUCUACUUUACUGUAGAAAAAUAACGUAUUUCAGUUCUGUUUGAAAUAAAUGUGUAAAUAAUUAUUAUUUAAAAGCAUCAAGUUCAUUAAAACAUGUAGAAAGGAAUAUAAACUCGAAAAAAAUAUGGACUUUGUUUAAAGUAGAAUGUAAUCAUUUCUUUGCCAGGUUUAGAAAAGUGAAGAAAAAUGAAAUAAAUAAUAUUUAUUUACAUAAUAAAUUCCAUCCAUUGCCUUACAUAGCCUUUUUAUUUAAAAAUUAUACAUUUUCUUGUUUAAUGUAAGAUCAGGGAGUAUAUUCAGUGGAUACAUGCUUGUUGACAGUGCAGGAGGUUUUUGUACGGCCACUUAAUGAGUUUGUAUCACUGUGGUGGACUUUUGGUGGAGGAACCAAACUCAUCGUUCAAUCGGGCUCCAUGGUCAGGCCCUCGGUCUCCCUUCUGGCGCCCUCCUCUGAGCAGCUCUCUGGGGGCUCGGUCACGCUGGCCUGCCUGCUGUCCGGCUACUCUCCUCAGGGAGCCGUGGUGAGCUGGGAGGUGGACGGCACAGCGGUGACAGAGGGGGUGCUGAGCAGCUCGGAGGAGGAGAAGAGCGGACGCUACAGCAGCAGCAGCGCCCUGAGCCUGAGCCAGGAGCGCUGGCUGUCAGGAGAUCUAUACUCCUGCAAGGUCCUCCAUCAUGACCACAGCCAGACCCAGUCCAUCCACAGGAGCCAAUGUGAGGGCUAGAGGGGCCGGCUGAAGCCCAGGACAGGAGCUGUGUGUCGGGGGGAGCAGGGGGAACACAUACUGCUCUGAUCAUUAUGAGUUUUACUGUUUGUAGAGGAAACUAAAGCUUUGUGUGGCAGAGAACAACACUGCUGUAAAGUGUUGGACAGCAACAACUUAGAGAGUAAUGUGUAAAGCUCAGCAGAGAUGUGAGCGUGCUUAGUAACUGUCAUGUUGAUGAUUCAUCAUUUUCCUAAUAAAGCUUUAACUGAUAAAUAUCA